UUUGCAGGUGAAUGUGGGAUCUGACGUGGUUGUGAAUUCAACAGGAUGGAUCCAGGUGGGGACAGGGGGGAGGGACUCCCUCCCUCUAUAACUACUCUAUGUGGGGAACAUAAAAGCCAGAGCAAAGCUCAGAGGAUGUAUGAAGCACUCACAUCACAAUCAGAUCCCAGCCCCUUGUCCUCCAGGACCAUUCGUUCAUCUUCUGAACCUUUAACUUCAGAGAGGACCCAACAGACAUUUAAAUUUGAUCAAGAACUAAGCAAUGUGUCCUUCAAGAGUGAUCGAUCAAGGCCUCUGCCCCCUGACUUUAAAUCUUCUG
Molecule: long non-coding RNA, 319 nt
Organism: Cyprinodon variegatus (sheepshead minnow)
Lineage: Eukaryota; Metazoa; Chordata; Actinopteri; Cyprinodontiformes; Cyprinodontidae
Exons: 3
Source: RefSeq, a predicted model, not a curated record